CUUCAACGAACCCAGCCACAACGGCUCCCCACCCGCACCACGCUCCUGCCCGUACGUCGACAACAGCGCCUGCACCUC
This is a non-coding RNA of Streptomyces yokosukanensis, 78 nucleotides long. It matches the Rfam family "ASpks TB sRNA". The record is from Rfam. NCBI's taxonomy places the organism in Bacteria, Bacillati, Actinomycetota, Actinomycetes, Kitasatosporales, Streptomycetaceae.